This 361-nucleotide ribosomal RNA is filed under the name uncultured bacterium. Its description in RNAcentral is "partial 16S ribosomal RNA". It matches the Rfam family "Bacterial small subunit ribosomal RNA", at positions 338 to 696 of the family's 1533-position model. The record is from RNAcentral.
CCUACGGGUGGCAGCAGUGAGGAAUAUUGGUCAAUGGGCGCGAGCCUGAACCAGCCAAGUAGCGUGAAGGAUGACUGCCCUACGGGUUGUAAACUUCUUUUAUAAAGGAAUAAAGUGAGGCACGCGUGCCUUUUUGGAUGUACUUUAUGAAUAAGGAUCGGCUAACUCCGUGCCAGCAGCCGCGGUAAUACGGAGGAUCCGAGCGUUAUCCGGAUUUAUUGGGGUUAAAGGGAGCGUAGGUGGGAUGUUAAGUCCGUUGUGAAAGUCUGCGGCUCAACCGUGAAAGUGCAAUUGAUACUGGCAGUCUUGAGUACAGUAGAGGUAGGCGGAAUGCGUGGUGUAGCGGUGAAAUGCUUAGAUA